GAGCGCCCAGCAAUGGGAGCGGCGGACGGGUGAGUAACACGUGGGAAUAUGCCCCGAGGUACGGGACAACUCAGGGAAACUUGAGCUAAUACCGUAUGAUCCGGCAACGGCAAAGAUUUAUCGCCUUGGGAUUAGCCCGCGUCCGAUUAGCUAGUUGGUGAGGUAAUGGCCCACCAAGGCACCGAUCGGUAGCUGGUUUGAGAGAACGACCAGCCACACUGGGACUGAGACACGGCCCAGACUCCUACGGGAGGCAGCAGUAGGGAAUCUUGGACAAUGGGGGAAACCCUGAUCCAGCCAUGCCGCGUGAGUGAUGAAGGCCUUACGGGUUGUAAAACUCUUUCGACGGGGACGAUAAUGACGGUACCCGUAGAAGAAGCUCCGGCUAACUUCGUGCCAGCAGCCGCGGUAAU
Molecule: ribosomal RNA, 413 nt
Filed under: uncultured bacterium
Lineage: Bacteria
Description: bacterial SSU rRNA
Rfam family: Bacterial small subunit ribosomal RNA
Source: RNAcentral